RNAcentral lists this ribosomal RNA (1142 nucleotides) under marine metagenome. Its description in RNAcentral is "SSU rRNA". It matches the Rfam family "Eukaryotic small subunit ribosomal RNA", at positions 3 to 1153 of the family's 1831-position model. The record is from RNAcentral.
CCUGGUUGAUCCUGCCAGUAGUCAUAUGCUUGUCUCAAAGAUUAAGCCAUGCAUGUCUCGGCAUAAACCUACGUAUGGUGAAGCUGCGAAUGGCUCAUUAGAACAGUUGUGGUUUAUCUGGUACUUGAAAGAUAGAUGGAUAACUGUGGUAAUUCUAGGGCUAAUACAUGCGUAAAAACCGGACUUCGAGGAACGGUUGUACUUAUUAGACAAAGAACUAAUCCGUUUCGGCGGCAUUUAGAUGAAUCAUAAUAAAAGCAUGGAGCGUAUGACUUGUGUCGGCGCUACACCAUUCAAGUUUCUGACCUAUCAGCUUUCGACGGCAGGGUAUUGGCUUACCGUGGCAUUGACGGGUAACGGGGAAUUAGGGUUCGAUUCCGGAGAGGAAGCCUGAGAAACGGCUACCACAUCUAAGGAAGGCAGCAGGCGCGCAAAUUACCCACUCCUGACACAGGGAGGUAGUGACAAGGAAUAGCAAUGCAGGUGGCAAUUGCCAUUGUGCUAUUGGAAUGAGUGGACUUUAAAUCCCUUUUCGACUAUCGAUUGGAGGGCAAGUCUGGUGCCAGCAGCCGCGGUAAUUCCAGCUCCAGUAGCGUAUAUUAAAGUUGUUGCGGUUGAAAAGCUCGUAGUUGGGUUUCUGCGGAGGAAGCGCGGUCCGCACUUGGUGCGUGUAUCUGGUCUACCUACGCAUCUUCCAGUGAAACGCUACUGCGCUUUAUUGCGUGGCGCGGCAAUCUGGACUUUUACUUUGAGGAAAUUGGAGUGUUUACAGCGAGCGAUUGGUUUGAACAUAUUAGCAUGGAAUAAUAACCUAGAACCUUGGUUCUAUUUUGUUGGUUUCUAGACUAGGGUAAUGAUCAAUAGGGAUAAUUGGGGGCAUUUGUAUCAACACGUCAGAGGUGAAAUUCUUGGAUUGUGUUACGACGAACCACUGCGAAAGCAUUUGCCAAGGAUGUUUUCAUUGAUCAAGAACGAAAGUGCAGGGAUCGAAGACGAUUAGAUACCGUCGUAGUCUGCACCGUAAACUAUGCCGAUUAAAGAUUGGAGGUCGUUCUUAUUGUGGCUCCUUCAGUAAUUUAUGAGAAAUCAAAAUUCUUGGGUUCCGGGGGGAGUAUGGUCGCAAGGCUGAAACUUAAAGGAAU